GAUUCUGGCUCAGGAUGAACGCUGGCGGCGUGCCUAACACAUGCAAGUCGAACGAAGCACUUUGGUUGAUCCUUCGGGUGAUACUUUUGUGACUGAGUGGCGGACGGGUGAGUAACGCGUGGGUAACCUGCCCUGUACAGGGGGAUAACAGCCAGAAAUGGCUGCUAAUACCGCAUAAGCGCACGGAAGGACAUCCUUCAGUGUGAAAAACUCCGGUGGUACAGGAUGGGCCCGCGUCUGAUUAGCUUGUUGGCGGGGUAAAGGCCCACCAAGGCGACGAUCAGUAGCCGGUCUGAGAGGAUGAACGGCCACAUUGGAACUGAGACACGGUCCAAACUCCUACGGGAGGCAGCAGUGGGGAAUAUUGCACAAUGGGGGAAACCCUGAUGCAAGCAACGCCGCGUGAGUGAAGAAGUAUUUCGGUAUGUAAAGCUCUAUCAGCAGGGAAGAUAAUGACGGUACCUGACUAAGAAGCUCCGGCUAAAUACGUGCCAGCCGCGGC
This 502-nucleotide ribosomal RNA is filed under the name uncultured bacterium. RNAcentral's name for it is "bacterial SSU rRNA". It matches the Rfam family "Bacterial small subunit ribosomal RNA", at positions 15 to 518 of the family's 1533-position model. The record is from RNAcentral.